This 195-nucleotide ribosomal RNA is filed under the name uncultured bacterium. RNAcentral describes it as "partial 16S ribosomal RNA". It matches the Rfam family "Bacterial small subunit ribosomal RNA", at positions 337 to 525 of the family's 1533-position model. The record is from RNAcentral.
UCCUACGGGAGGCAGCAGUGGGGAAUCUUCCACAAUGGACGAAAGUCUGAUGGAGCAACGCCGCGUGAGUGAAGAAGGUUUUCGGAUCGUAAAACUCUGUUGUUGGAGAAGGAUGUAUCUGAUAGUAACUGAUCAGGUAGUGACGGUAUCCAACCAGAAAGCCACGGCUAACUACGUGCCAGCAGCGCGGUAAUA